GGGGGCGACCUGGAUUCGACGUGGGUUGCGAAACCGGAGGUGCAUGCCGAGGAUGCAGGUUCCCUCGUAAAUCCAUCUGCAAACGAUAGUUGCCAACGACGACAACUACGCACUCGCCGCUUAAUACCCGGUAGGGUGCCGUCGGACUGGAGCCGUGCCUGUGCGUCCAGAUCUCCGGCGUCAUCUCUCAUAGGAUCGCGGUGACGCUCUCCCGGGGCGAAUCCGCUAAAUCCACACUGGGAUCGCCGUCGACAUGCCCUGCCCGUCGGGUGGCUGGCGGUUAAAUCCAAAGACUGGGAUAAGCAUGUAGAGCCAAAGGCGGAGAACUUACGGACGCGGGUUCGAUUCCCGCCGCCUCCACCA
RNAcentral lists this transfer-messenger RNA (363 nucleotides) under Gammaproteobacteria (g-proteobacteria). RNAcentral describes it as "21-64-14 sp002255365 Standard tmRNA". It matches the Rfam family "transfer-messenger RNA". Rfam says of the family: Bacterial tmRNA, also known as 10Sa RNA or SsrA, is named for its dual tRNA and mRNA-like properties. Its role is to liberate the mRNA from a stalled ribosome. Lineage: Bacteria; Pseudomonadati; Pseudomonadota. RNAcentral also lists the same sequence under 2 other names. The record is from RNAcentral.